GGGAUGGCGGCAGCCUACACAUGCAGUCGAACGGUAACAGGAAGCAGCUUGCUGCUUCGCUGACGAGUGGCGGACGGGUGAGUAAUGUCUGGGAAACUGCCUGAUGGAGGGGGAUAACUACUGGAAACGGUAGCUAAUACCGCAUAACGUCGCAAGACCAAAGAGGGGGACCUUCGGGCCUCUUGCCAUCGGAUGUGCCCAGAUGGGAUUAGCUAGUAGGUGGGGUAACGGCUCACCUAGGCGACGAUCCCUAGCUGGUCUGAGAGGAUGACCAGCCACACUGGAACUGAGACACGGUCCAGACUCCUACGGGAGGCAGCAGUGGGGAAUAUUGCACAAUGGGCGCAAGCCUGAUGCAGCCAUGCCGCGUGUAUGAAGAAGGCCUUCGGGUUGUAAAGUACUUUCAGCGGGGAGGAAGGCGAUGAGGUUAAUAACCUUGUCGAUUGACGUUACCCGCAGAAGAAGCACCGGCUAACUCCGUGCAGCACCCCCAAAAAAAAAAAA
Molecule: ribosomal RNA, 504 nt
Filed under: Enterobacter hormaechei subsp. hormaechei
Lineage: Bacteria; Pseudomonadati; Pseudomonadota; Gammaproteobacteria; Enterobacterales; Enterobacteriaceae
Description: partial 16S ribosomal RNA
Rfam family: Bacterial small subunit ribosomal RNA
Source: RNAcentral